AUGGUGUGCCGGGGUAGCGGCCCCGGUCAAGGUGGGCAGCGCUGCUCCCUGCGGCGGACGGCGGCUGCGGGUGCUCGACUGGGCUCCUCGGCUUGCUUGGGCGGCGAGGCCCCGGUGGAUGGAGCUCGCGGUGGCCGGAUUUUCUCCGUCGGUCCGCCUCCAGAUCUGAUUCGACCAGCUCCAACUCCACCCUCCUCGCCUUCUCCCGUUCGAUCUGCUCGCCGGAUCCGGCGGUUGGCGGUGUUUUGGCGGUGGGGCUCCUGGGACCGGGGGAAACCCUUGGCCGCCGGCGGCGGCCACAACGACGACGAUGCCGCGGCGUCGAACUACUUCUUGGAGGCUUCGUUGAGGUAUCCCACCCCCCACCAAUCUGCCCCUGCAUCUAGGUGA
RNAcentral lists this ribosomal RNA (390 nucleotides) under Triticum aestivum (bread wheat). RNAcentral's name for it is "partial small subunit ribosomal RNA". Lineage: Eukaryota; Viridiplantae; Streptophyta; Magnoliopsida; Poales; Poaceae. The record is from RNAcentral.